Molecule: ribosomal RNA, 253 nt
Filed under: uncultured bacterium
Lineage: Bacteria
Description: partial 16S ribosomal RNA
Rfam family: Bacterial small subunit ribosomal RNA
Source: RNAcentral
UACGUAGGGUGCAAGCGUUAAUCGGAAUUACUGGGCGUAAAGCGUGCGCAGGCGGAUCGGUAAGUCUGACGUGAAAUCCCCGGGCUCAACCUGGGAAUUGCGUUGGAGACUGCAGGGCUAGAAUCUGGCAGAGGGGUGUAGAAUUCCACGUGUAGCAGUGAAAUGCGUAGAGAUGUGGAGGAACACCGAUGGCGAAGGCAGCGCCCUGGGUCAUGACUGACGCUCAUGCACGAAAGCGUGGGGAGCAAACAGG